Long non-coding RNA from Anastrepha obliqua, 530 nucleotides. RefSeq lists it as uncharacterized. The record is from RefSeq and is a predicted model, not a curated record. The transcript is spliced from 4 exons. NCBI's taxonomy places the organism in Eukaryota, Metazoa, Arthropoda, Insecta, Diptera, Tephritidae.
UAAAUUAAAUUUCUUAGUACUUUCCAAGGUGGAUUUAUUAAUUUGUGGGCCUGAGGAAAUUACUUUGAAGAUGUCAGCAUUUGCGAUGCAGUGAUGUGAAUGCAGCGGAGCCUAGGAGGAUUCCAUAUAACUACAAUGGGCGUUAGAAACGCUCGCCAAAACUAAGCAACGAUUGUUUUCCAUACUUAUACCGAUUAGCAGAAGAAAAAGAGAAAAAACGUUUAGCUGAUUUACCACCUGAAGAAAAGUUAGUUGAAAAAAUACGCUGGAAAUUGUCACAAAAUAAAAAGUCGACACAUUUCCCACAGUUCAUUGAAGAUUUAGUACGUAGCUUAUGUGUGAAUUUAUCUGCCACGGGCAUUAAUAAGAUGAAAAUGAAUGUAGAGAAUGAAGCUUGGACACGGAAAAGUUUAAAAUGGAGAAACACAACGCAAAAAAACUUCGAAACAAGGACAAAAUUAAAGUCUCACUACGAGAUAUUGAUGGCUAUCAGAAAUACAGCAAUGCUACUAAUGACUAUGAUGACUUUG